Molecule: ribosomal RNA, 468 nt
Filed under: uncultured bacterium
Lineage: Bacteria
Description: partial 16S ribosomal RNA
Rfam family: Bacterial small subunit ribosomal RNA
Source: RNAcentral
GACGAACGCUGGCGGCGUGCUUAACACAUGCAAGUCGAACGGAAAGGCCCUGCUUUUGUGGGGUGCUAGAGUGGCGAACGGGUGAGUAACACGUGAGUAACCUGCCCUUGACUUUGGGAUAACGUCAGGAAACUGGGGCUAAUACCGGAUAGGAGCUCCUGCUGCAUGGUGGGGGUUGGAAAGUUUUGGCGGUUGGGGAUGGACUCGCGGCUUAUCAGCUUGUUGGUGGGGUAGUGGCUUACCAAGGCUUUGACGGGUAGCCGGCAGGAGAGGGUGACCGGCUACAUGAGUACAGAGGUGCAGCCCAGGGUACUACGGAAGGCAGCAGUGGGGAAUAUUACACAAUGGGCGGAAUCCUGAUGCAGCAACGCCGCGUGCGGGAUGACGGCCUGCGGGUUGUAAACCGCGUUCGCCUGUGACGAAGCGUGAGUGACAGUAAUGGGUAAAGAAGCACCGGCUAACUACGUG